RNAcentral lists this ribosomal RNA (553 nucleotides) under uncultured bacterium. RNAcentral describes it as "bacterial SSU rRNA". It matches the Rfam family "Bacterial small subunit ribosomal RNA", at positions 339 to 906 of the family's 1533-position model. The record is from RNAcentral.
CUACGGGAGGCAGCAGUGGGGAAUUUUCCGCAAUGGGCGAAAGCCUGACGGAGCAACGCCGCGUGAGGGAUGAAGGCCUCUGGGCUGUAAACCUCUUUUAUCAAGGAAGAAGAUCUGACGGUACUUGAUGAAUAAGCCACGGCUAAUUCCGUGCCAGCAGCCGCGGUAAUACGGGAGUGGCAAGCGUUAUCCGGAAUUAUUGGGCGUAAAGCGUCCGCAGGCGGUCUUUUAAGUCUGCUGUUAAAGCGUGGAGCUUAACUCCAUUUCGGCAGUGGAAACUGGAAGACUAGAGUGUGGUAGGGGCAGAGGGAAUUCCCGGUGUAGCGGUGAAAUGCGUAGAUAUCGGGAAGAACACCAGUGGCGAAGGCGCUCUGCUGGGCCAUAACUGACGCUCAUGGACGAAAGCCAGGGGAGCGAAAGGGAUUAGAUACCCCUGUAGUCCUGGCCGUAAACGAUGAACACUAGGUGUCGGGGGAAUCGACCCCCUCGGUGUCGUAGCCAACGCGUUAAGUGUUCCGCCUGGGGAGUACGCACGCAAGUGUGAAACUCAAAG